This 219-nucleotide ribosomal RNA is filed under the name Sphingomonas olei. RNAcentral's name for it is "partial 16S ribosomal RNA". It matches the Rfam family "Bacterial small subunit ribosomal RNA", at positions 1197 to 1415 of the family's 1533-position model. Lineage: Bacteria; Pseudomonadati; Pseudomonadota; Alphaproteobacteria; Sphingomonadales; Sphingomonadaceae. The record is from RNAcentral.
GGCCCUUACGUNGNNGGGCUACACACGUGCUACAAUGGCGAUUACAGUGGGCAGCAAUCCCGCGAGNGUGAGCUAAUCUCCAAAAGUUGUCUCAGUUCGGAUUGCUCUCUGCAACUCGAGAGCAUGAAGGCGGAAUCGCUAGUAAUCGCGGAUCAGCAUGCCGCGGUGAAUACGUUCUCGGGCCUUGUACACACCGCCCGUCACACCAUGGGAGUUGGA